CUACCUCGACUCGCGAAUGCAUCUCAGAUUAUUAGUUUGAUCAUGGCUCAGAGUGAACGCUGGCGGUAGGCCUAACACAUGCAAGUCGAACGGCAGCACAGGAGAGCUUGCUCUCUGGGUGGCGAGUGGCGGACGGGUGAGGAAUAUAUCUGGAAUCUACUCUGUCGUGGGGGAUAACGUGGGGAAACUUACGCUAAUACCGCAUACGACCUACGGGUGAAAGCAGGGGAUCUUCGGACCUUGCGCGAUUGAAUGAGCCGAUGUCGGAUUAGCUAGUUGGCGGGGUAAAGGCCCACCAAGGCGACGAUCC
This 310-nucleotide ribosomal RNA is filed under the name uncultured bacterium. Its description in RNAcentral is "partial 16S ribosomal RNA". It matches the Rfam family "Bacterial small subunit ribosomal RNA", at positions 1 to 282 of the family's 1533-position model. The record is from RNAcentral.